UAGGGAAUCUUCCGCAAUGGACGAAAGUCUGACGGAGCGACGCCGCGUGAGCGAAGAAGGUCUUCGGAUCGUAAAGCUCUGUUGUUAGGGAAGAAGAAGUUCCGUUCGAACAGGGCGGCGCGGUGACGGUACCUAACGAGAAAGCCCCGGCUAACUACGUGCCAGCAGCCGCGGUAAUACGUAGGGGGCGAGCGUUGUCCGGAAUUAUUGGGCGUAAAGCGCGCGCAGGCGGUCCCUUAAGUCUGAUGUGAAAGCCCACGGCUUAACCGUGGAGGGUCAUUGGAAACUGGGGGACUUGAGUGCAGAAGAGGAGAGCGGAAUUCCACGUGUAGCGGUGAAAUGCGUAGAGAUGUGGAGGAACACCAGUGGCGAAGGCGGCUCUCUGGUCUGUAACUGACGCUGAGGCGCGAAAGCGUGGGGAGCAAACAGG
This 430-nucleotide ribosomal RNA is filed under the name Bacillota bacterium. RNAcentral's name for it is "Firmicutes bacterium partial 16S ribosomal RNA". It matches the Rfam family "Bacterial small subunit ribosomal RNA", at positions 355 to 776 of the family's 1533-position model. Lineage: Bacteria; Bacillati; Bacillota. The record is from RNAcentral.